Molecule: long non-coding RNA, 2765 nt
Organism: Salvelinus fontinalis (brook trout)
Lineage: Eukaryota; Metazoa; Chordata; Actinopteri; Salmoniformes; Salmonidae
Exons: 3
Source: RefSeq, a predicted model, not a curated record
GAAAGGAUAUGCUGUGAAUGACAAAUGUAUUACAGUCCUAUAAGGGUAUCCUUCUUGAAUACAACGGUAGCAUGAAAUUUAGCUUCCUCACUUUCCUCAAGACCAUUUGACCUACCUCUGGUAACCUCUUAAUAUUGAUCAGACUGACCUGUCUCUCUCCUUUGGAGAGGAUAUCCUGGGAAGGUAUGCCUGGUUGAGGAGGACAACAUCAACUGAGGACAUGAUUACACUGAAGAUCACAUCCGUCAACGCCGGAGUAAUCAUGACGCUGAUCACUUUUUGGUUACAGGAGUUGAAAUGAGACAGAUGAAUCGUCUCCUAAUCUCUAGUCUCAAAGAAGUGAUAUGAAAUGCAGAUCUAAAUAGAGCGACCUGGUUCAGAUUUCCCACUAAUCCCUUACAGAGAGAGAAGAAAAGGAGGGAGACGGUGCUGGUGGCCGACAGUGUUGUGGAAGGAUGACGACGCCAACAGGACAUCUCCUAAACCACGUCAUACUUGUCCCAGGUUAAUCACUGGAGCAGGAUUACAUACCAUUUGGCAUAUGGGUCCUUACUGCACAUCGAGACAUAUUGCAAACACAUAGGAAGAUAAUACACACGCUGGGCCCAAGCAGUCCUCUCUGAGAUGUAUAAAAAGGAACAGUAUGCGAAUGAGCCUGUCGAUGGCUGUUCAAAAUGGGUAGGGUUCGGUUGCCAUGUGUUUCUUGUCAUUAUGAAAAAUGUUUGUAAAAAACAGAAGAAUAAAGGUGGACCCAACCACAAGUUCCUUGUUUUCUCAAACGCUACAGUCAAAGCCCAUACCUCAUCCUAAGUGAAAAUAAAAAAUGUUAUUCUAAUACCAGGCGCAGGGUUUGGGAUUGUAUAACUGAAUUAUAAAACAUGAAGUGGCUAAUAAGAGCCUGUUACAGCAGUACUUAAUGUUGGCGGUACAGAGGGAAUGAGUUUGUCUAUGUUGACCUUUAUUUUCUCUACCUUUGGUACAUUUCCUGAAUCCAUUCAGAUGCAAAACUUUGUCUGGUCAAAUUCGAUUAUGAUCAUAAUAAACUAUUUUAAUCUUGUCAGUUCCACGAACAAGCCAGAAAUUCAGUUGAUCAACCCAGUCUGGGCUCUCAGAGAUUUCACUAAGAAGGUUUACUGAUAUCAUUUUUACAAUGCAACAAGUGGAACAAAUUGAAACAUUUUUUCUUCCAUGAGCCACUGUGUCAAAGAAACAUGACCAAAUGACAUCUGACAGUCUAGGAAUUCCCAUCACCCUUUAUUUGUAACAGAUCAAUUCCUGUCUCCCUGCAUGUCAAUCAUGUUGAACGAUCUGGAACCUUCUCUGUCUGUUUACAGCAAGGGUAGAGUACCCUAAUUAGGGUCAGUCAACAACAGCCCCCUACUAAGUAGUGAUUGAUCAACCCCAGUCAGCACAACCAUUGCAUGCAUGGCUUCAAAUGAGGGCUGUGUGUUUAAACAAGGAAAGUGUUACAUAAUGAGGGGAAAAGUAGAACAAAGUCAUUCUUUUUGCAGCUGAAUGGAGUGAAUUCUCUGCUUUGUUCAUUUUAUUACUACUUCUAUUGUACUGUUAUUUUAACCUGUAUAAAUGUUGUUUCAGAAACGUGCUGAAAAUUCUAAUUAUAUGGGAAACGUAAGGUGGUGUUGGCUUUGUACUUGGAAAAAGAUCAUAACUUGUUUCAUCGUUGCUAAAUCCCAGUUUUUAGAACACAGAUGCAGAAUCACAACCGGGUUUUACCAGUAAGGAUCGCCUGGCCACACAGAGUUAACUGUAGGAUUAUCCGUUUCAUUACAACAUCAACUUUCCUCUAAUUUUCAUGAGCUUCUGCUCCCUGUGUUUAUUUAUAUAUCCCUCCCUGUCCCCGUCUCCUGUGUAUUGCUCUGGUGUGCUGUAGGCUACUCUACAGAUCCAUCCUUUAUCGACAUUUUCCUCUGUACACAUUUACUGUAACUUUGACAUUUGGAUGUCAUCCAUGAUUGUGAAUGGGUCUGUAAACCCUGGGUUAAUUCACUCCCAGUUUGUGAACAAAACAUUGCGAUUACCUCAAACACAGACUAAAUGAGCCUACAGAGGAGCAGGUCUUACUGUUGUAACAGCAGGUGACUAUGACCGAUUACUGGAUGCCCUAGAGAUGAAAUAAGAUUGAACUGUAUAAUAAAGAACCUGUUUGCUCUAUCCCUACACAGAAGUUUCCUUGACGUGUAUGAUUAUGGACUGGGUGACGCAGUGCCUCAUUGAGCUCUAGAUUGAUGGAAGGACAAACUUUAAUGGGGAAUGGUAGUGUAUAAGUGUCUCAUGCAAAUGUCUUGAGCAGAUAUUAUUGUCAAAUACUUAGUAGGAGAUAUCCAAAUAACCAAGUUCACAAUUAUAAGUUCAAAUAUUGCUCUAACCAGUUUAAAUGUAUCUUUGAUAAUUAUUAACUCAGUUAUAAAAUUUAAAAAACUCAGUUAAACCAAGGUUACGCAUCUUAUCAAUAGUAGCAUACCAGGUGAAACAGGACAGCUGUUCCAGUAACCAUGAAUUAGAAGAGGCAUUAGAUUCUCACUGGUUUCAGAACAAGCCUUCAUUAUUUGUAGAUAAUCUUUUUGAAAAGACAUUUUAAAGACUGUGAAAAUUAAUAGUAAUACAUGUUCACUUGGUGAAGUCUGUGAAUCCUGUUUCCCACCACAAACGUCUUGACAUUCUAAUGUGUAUUGGACACUGGGGACCUUUACGCAUUUUCGGUUAUGAUUUAGGAUAAUUGAUAAAUAGGCCAGGCUUACCUUAAA